CUUAUUUCAUAUAGUCUGUGAAUGGAUAGAUUUGCAUUUCCACUAGACUUGGUAUAACUGGAUUUCAUCAAGGCACCUGAGAGAGUCUUGCAUGAUCCAUUUGUGGAUAAGAUAUAGUUAUGUAUUACUUCUAGCUGGGAGAAGAACUUGAUUGACAGCUGAUGUGCUAUAGCUUUGGCUACCAUAUUGAAUCUUCUGUUGGUGCUAUAGUUUGGAUUUAAAUGUCCCCCAAAGGUUCAAAUAUUAAAGCCUGAGCCCCCAGAUGUAUGUCAUUGGAAGUUGUGAAACUUUAGGAAAUGGGGCCUAGUAUGGAGGUGUGUCCUUGAAGGGGAUUUUAUGACCUUUGUCUCUUGCUCUUCCUUUUAUGCUUUGCCACUGUGAGCCGAAAAGGUUUGUUCAACUAUGUGCUCCUGCCAUGAGGUGGUGUCCCCUCCGCAGAGGCCUCAAAGCAAUGGGUUCAACUGACAUGGACUGAAGCCUCCCAAACUGUGAGCCCAGAUAAGCUUUUCCUCUUUUUUUCCCUUUGUCUUUAAAAAAAAUUAUUGGUAGUUUUUCUUCUUUAUAAGCUGGUUUAUCUCAGGUAUUGAUUAUAGUAAUGGAAAGCUAAAACAGUCAACUUGGGCAAAGAGGCAGUAAGAAUAAGUCAGAUCAAUUACCAAAACUAUCUAAGCAUAAAGCAGACACUAAUGAAUGUAAAUUUAAUUUUUAAAAACCUCAGCAUAUAACACAGAAUGAGGAUGAGAUAACUUGGUCAUAAUACAAAUAAAGAAGACUUGAGAUUUUAGCUGACUCUAAGAUACUAGUUUCUUAGGGCUGCUAUAACAAAUUACUACAAAUUAGAUGACCUAAACCAACAGAAGUAUAGUCUCUCAUAGUUCUGGAGGCUAGAAGUUCAAUACCAAGGUAUUGUCAGGGCCAUGGGUCCUCUGGAGGCUCUAGGGAAGACUCUUCCUUGCUUCUUGCUUCUUUGAGUUUCUGUGGUGGCUGUCAGUACUUGGCAUUCCUUGGUCUGUGGCAACAUAACUCCCAUCUCUGCCUCUAUCUUCCUGUGGCCAUCUUUCCCAUUUAGGUUUCUGUACCUAAAUUUCUGUCUUGUUACAAGAACACAGGUCACUACAGGACUUACCCUAAGUGUAACCUCAUUUUAAUUUGAUUACAACUGCAAAGACCUUAUUUCCAAAUAAGGUCACAGUCACAAGUGCUUCCUGCUUCACUGGGCUUCUGUGUUACCACAGUCCCAUUUCUCCUUUUAUCUCUCUGGCUGUUCUUCCUUGGCCUCCAAUGCUGACACCUUUUCCUGAGCUCAAGCAUUAAGUGAUUGUAUUUCUUGGUAGUUUAAACCUUCUCUUCUCAUUCCACUUAUUAUUAUUUUUUUCUGAGUUGAUAUCCUUUCCCAUGGCUUCAGUUUCCACUUAAGUAUUGAUAACUCCAGUAUCUUAUGGAGAUGUCUCUUGGAAUCUAAUUAGACAUUUCUUUUUAGAUAUUUCAAGUAUCUCAACUAAAUAGAUCCAAAAUUAGGCUCCUCAAUUUUUUUGAACCCUGGUGUCCAGGUUUCCAGUUUCAACAGAUGGUACCUCUGUCUGCCCAUUUGUCUAAGAUGUCCUUGAUUUCUCUCCUUCCUUCAUCCUCCACAUCCAGCCAGUCAUCAAAUCAAAUUGACCCUACAUUUCAAUUAGCUCAUAAAUAUGUUUAUGUAAUUUUCAAUUUAUUUCUACUGCUACUAUCUUGGUUCAGGCCACUGUCUUGAUUUGUUUGUUAGACUUAGAUGUGUGUAGCAGGUUUUGAAUUAGUAUCCCAGCCUCUGAUCUUGUUCUCUAAUCUGUUCUCUGCAUUGCCCACAUGCAAAUAUGAUCAUGCUAUUUCUCUGCUUAAAACCCUCCAAUGGAUUCCCACCUUCUUUAGGAUACAAAUAAACUUCUAAGCUGGCCUAAAAGACAUUGCAUGAUCUGAUUUCUACGAUCCUCAAGCCUCAUUUGGCUUUUUUCAGUUUUCU
This 1993-nucleotide long non-coding RNA is filed under the name Marmota monax (woodchuck). Lineage: Eukaryota; Metazoa; Chordata; Mammalia; Rodentia; Sciuridae. The record is from RNAcentral.